RNAcentral lists this ribosomal RNA (497 nucleotides) under uncultured bacterium. RNAcentral's name for it is "partial 16S ribosomal RNA". It matches the Rfam family "Bacterial small subunit ribosomal RNA", at positions 28 to 507 of the family's 1533-position model. The record is from RNAcentral.
GAUGAACGCUGGCGGCGUGCCUAAUACAUGCAAGUCGAGCGAACGGACGAGAAGCUUGCUUCUCUGAUGUUAGCGGCGGACGGGUGAGUAACACGUGGAUCACCUACCUAUCAGACUGGGAUAACUUCGGGAAACCGGAGCUAAUACCGGAUAAUAUUUUGAACCGCAUGGUUCAAAAGUGAAUGACGGUCUUGCUGUCACUUAUAGAUGGAUCCGCGCUGCAUUAGCUAGUUGGUAAGUUAACGGCUUACCAAGGCAACGAUGCAUAGCCGACCUGAGAGGGUGAUCGGCCACACUGGAACUGUGACACGGUCCAGACUCCUACGGGAGGCAGCAGUAGGGAAUCUUCCGCAAUGGGCGAAAGCCUGACGGAGCAACGCCGCGUGAGUGAUGAAGGUCUUCGGAUCGUAAAACUCUGUUAUUAGGGAAGAACAUAUGUGUAAGUAACUGUGCACAUCUUGACGGUACCUAAUCAGAAAGCAACGGCUAACUACGUG